RNAcentral lists this ribosomal RNA (918 nucleotides) under Lentilactobacillus hilgardii. Its description in RNAcentral is "bacterial SSU rRNA". It matches the Rfam family "Bacterial small subunit ribosomal RNA", at positions 90 to 992 of the family's 1533-position model. Lineage: Bacteria; Bacillati; Bacillota; Bacilli; Lactobacillales; Lactobacillaceae. The record is from RNAcentral.
GACGAGUGGCGAACUGGUGAGUAACACGUGGGUAACCUGCCCCGAAGCGGGGGAUAACAUUUGGAAACAGGUGCUAAUACCGCAUAACAACCAAAACCACCUGGUUUUGGUUUGAAAGACGGCUUCGGCUGUCACUUUGGGAUGGACCCGCGGCGUAUUAGCUAGUUGGUGAGGUAACGGCUCACCAAGGCGAUGAUACGUAGCCAACCUGAGAGGGUAAUCGGCCACAUUGGGACUGAGACACGGCCCAAACUCCUACGGGAGGCAGCAGUAGGGAAUCUUCCACAAUGGACGCAAGUCUGAUGGAGCAACGCCGCGUGAGUGAUGAAGGGUUUCGGCUCGUAAAACUCUGUUGUUGGAGAAGAACGGGUGUCAGAGUAACUGUUGACAUCGUGACGGUAUCCAACCAGAAAGCCACGGCUAACUACGUGCCAGCAGCCGCGGUAAUACGUAGGUGGCAAGCGUUGUCCGGAUUUAUUGGGCGUAAAGCGAGCGCAGGCGGUUUUUUAGGUCUGAUGUGAAAGCCUUCGGCUUAACCGGAGAAGUGCAUCGGAAACCGGGAGACUUGAGUGCAGAAGAGGACAGUGGAACUCCAUGUGUAGCGGUGAAAUGCGUAGAUAUAUGGAAGAACACCAGUGGCGAAGGCGGCUGUCUGGUCUGCAACUGACGCUGAGGCUCGAAAGCAUGGGUAGCGAACAGGAUUAGAUACCCUGGUAGUCCAUGCCGUAAACGAUGAGUGCUAAGUGUUGGAGGGUUUCCGCCCUUCAGUGCUGCAGCUAACGCAUUAAGCACUCCGCCUGGGGAGUACGACCGCAAGGUUGAAACUCAAAGGAAUUGACGGGGGCCCGCACAACCGGUGGAGCAUGUGGUUUAAUUCGAUGCUACGCGAAAAAACCUUACCAGGUCUUGACAUCGUCU